GAUCAGGCUCCUGCUCUAAGGGCUGCCAGACGAAAGCCUUGGAGAAGAAGGAAAAAGCAAACUUUCAGAUGUGAAGAGCUUUCUGAACUGAAAGAACAGAGCCGGCAAUGAGAUGCACAAAGGAUGGACAGGCAAAGGGUAGGUUAUUCUUUGUACAGAGGAUGAAGAAAUCCAUGUGCACAGAUUGGACUUCUCCCUUGGGCCGCGGAGAUGUUCCCAACUGUCUCCCGGACAUUUCCAGCUCAGAGUCAACAGAUGAUUGGAGAGUUAUCUCAUCUGCUACAUAUUUACUUAGUCACAUCUCCUAACUGCUCCAAUCACCCAAGAGCAAAAUCUAAGUGUCUGCCUUAAUAGUUCUUAUCAAUGCAUCACCAUUCACAGAUGUGCAUGCACUUAUACAUACACUCCUUCAAUCCAUCCUACGUGGUGUUGAUUGUAUCUCCAAUACAUUCUUCAUAACCCUUCUUUCUUCUCUGCCUUCUACAGUCCCUAUCCUGGACAAGACACUAAUAAUUUCUGAGGGGUAUAAUUUUAAUACAUUAUUCUCUGAACUCCCUACUGACAAUUCAUGUUCUUCACAUUGCAAAUAAAGUUCUCGCUCUCUAAAAUGGCAG
RNAcentral lists this long non-coding RNA (614 nucleotides) under Homo sapiens (human). RNAcentral describes it as "HSALNT0122326". Lineage: Eukaryota; Metazoa; Chordata; Mammalia; Primates; Hominidae. The record is from RNAcentral.